Long non-coding RNA from Cervus elaphus (red deer), 4554 nucleotides. RefSeq lists it as uncharacterized. The transcript has 3 exons. The record is from RefSeq and is a predicted model, not a curated record. NCBI's taxonomy places the organism in Eukaryota, Metazoa, Chordata, Mammalia, Artiodactyla, Cervidae.
AUUCCAGCGGUCUCUCCAGCGGCACAGCGCAUACCCAAACCUCCCCAGGGUGACAUCAUCCCAUAUAUGGACUCUCCAGCCCAGCCCUCCCCCUUUUCCUGGUCCUAAAUUCAUUGCCAGUUCCCCAGUCUGCAGCAAAUGUGCCACGUCAAGACUGGAAAUCACAGCCCUUGAGUCUCAGUCGGGGCAGCAGAAUUCGGGGGGGAAGCCGAAGGCAACCCCUGGUGCAGGAAGGGAGGCUUUUCCCCAACACCGGGAGAGGAUUUUUAAGUGCAUAGUUGGAAGCUUCUGGAGAUCCUGCUCCGUCGCCCCAGUGUUCAGACUACCUGUUCAGGACAAUGCCGUUGUACAGUAGUCUGCACAUUGGUUAGACUGGGCAAGGGAGAGCAACGCCAUGGACAGCUGGGGACAAAAGUGGCUGUUUCCAAGGAGGAAGACAUUUGUUUGCUCCUUUUUUGAAUCUCAUAUCCAGUGUUUUUCUUCACAGGUUUUGCACAGUAGGGGCCAGGAAGCCCUCGGGGACACUGCCGAGAAAGGACUGCUCGAGGGAAGACCUGUGGGUAAGGCCUUCUUGACUGCUCACCUGGGCUGUGACCAGGAGAGCCCAGGUGGGGAGCCAACGAUUUGCUUUCACAUGGGAGAGAAACCGAGGCGGGAUUGUGACAGACAGGUCUGCGUUUACUUUUAAAAGAGCAACGAUGUGUGGUACACUGCGAUUUACUAGCUGUUGUUCAAUUUCUGGAGUUUAAGUAUUUUCUUAAAUUUAAAGGUUUUCCCACUUCAAAAUGAAAUAUGAAAAGACGCCAAACACUUAAGAAUAAUUUAAUGAGGCUGGUUUUGAAUUGUUGAAAUUGAUAAUCCAGAGACUUAAAAACAUAUUUGAAUGAGAGCUGAAGUAUAACAUUUAGCAUCCCAGGAUUGAAUCCAUUUUGCCCCAAAGUAAACAAUACUUGCUAUUUUUAAAAUGCUAUCUGAAUAGUGCUUUUCUUAAAUUUUAUAUAAUAUAAAUAUCAGGAAUAAUAUUAUCUAACAAUAAAAGGAGAGGCUGCCAAGAAUUUUUGCCUACCAGACAAUGCAGAUAGGACUGGUCCAGAAAAGAGCACCAACCCAGAACUUAUUGAGUCAGCAACCAAAUAAAUUGGAGAAUAAAAACCUCUAUAUUCAGAUAUUCCAAUAUGUAUCUCUGUAUUACAUUUUUUAAAAAUCUAAGAAUGGUUGAUAAUUGCUGGUCAGCUGAGCCUUCCUGGCUAUAUUUUACAAUGCUUCUAUUUCUCUGAGCACUUAAAAUGAUAAGGUACUUUGUCUAGAAACCCACUGAUAAAAAAGGAAUUUGUAAACGAAAGCAAAGUUUUCUUUGGUCAGUUUCCAGCUGUCCUGGGGGUGAAGGAGGGUGGGAGAGGGGGAGGAAGGUGGGAGGGAGGAAAACCCUCAAGCUGAAUGAAAUCCCAAUAGAGAGAAUAAUGGAGAAAGUCUGGAUUGCAAUACGUGCAAUACGAUCCAUGUUGAACUUUAGAGAUGGGUCCCUUAAAGAACGUUCUGGAAAAAAAUGUUACUGCUUUAACCUUCAUUUAUAUCUAUCCCCAAACAAUUCCAUAUAAUGAAAAUAUCUGUUCUUUAGGCUUUUGUGUGAAUGUACCCUCUUUUGUCCUCCUUUUAAAUUCUGUCAUGUUAUAGUGAUUCCUUAACAAAUCCUUUUCCAAAUCAUACAUUUUGCAACAAUUCAAACAUUGUCACAAGUUCUCUGGCAAAACAUUUGAUUACCAAAGUGUCCCCCUAGUUAUAUUUUGUUGAAAGAACUUAUUUUAAAAGUUACCACUUGAUCAUUCCAAAGCUGGUAGAAAAGUUUUCUCUUUUAUUCAUUAUUUUUAGCUAAAAUACAAAAAGCAAGGAUUUAUUACAGCGAUUUCUUCCAUUUAAAUGAUUCAGUAAUGUCAUCCUUUUUUUUUUGUUUUCUAUUGUAUCUUGGAGGCUUCCAUUAUUAAUUAUUUCUAACAGAACAAGUAAGAUUUUUUAAAUCUACUUUUUUUUUUUAACAUAGGAAAACAACAACAAAAAAAUCUAUUAGGUAGCUUUACAGGAGUUUAUUUUUUCAAGAAACAUAUUUUUACUGUUUGAUACAGUUACCAAAGAAGAUAAAGUACUUUGGCAAUAUUUAAGAAUUUUCAAAUAUGAGGGUUUUUUGUCUUGUGUUUUUACUCCAUAGAAUAACUGAAUUUCCUAACUUGCUUUCAUUUCACGUAUGUUUAAUUUAAAUGUCUUUUUUCAUAUUAAGUGGCCUUUUUGCUUUAAAGAAACAAAUCACCACUGGUUCCUCACCUAUUUUUUCCCUCAGGGUGACUUUUAGUCUGGAGACAGAGGGGACCCGGUGGUGUCUUUGGCCUAAGCAGAGAAGCAGAAACAUUAUUAAUUUGAAAAAAGCAUAGCCGAGGAACCGCUGCAUGUGCUCGGUGGAGUUCGGGAAUCAAGGGAUCUAUUCCAGAGGAAACUAACCAACAAUGAACAUCCUCUACUAAAACUACCCCUGGAAAUAAUGGUUGCAUGCAUCAUUCCUUUAAUUGAGCAGAGUUAACUGGAUCAAAUUAUUUAUGGGAGAGAGAGGGAAAGCUAUACAGAAUUACAGUAAUUUUAAAAUUCUACCAAUAUGCUCUUUGUUAGUGAAUCACUCCAUAAAUAUUUUCUGUUGCAUUGAAGGCAGCAACAGUAACAAAAUAGUUCCUUAAGGUAUUUGUUUUUGCAUACUCUGGCCUUGUAAUUAUCUAAGUAGCAGCCAAGUUUAGUGAUGGUUUUGAUUCUGUCAAGAAAAAAUAAUAAGUCUUCCACUCAGAAGUGAUGACCAGAAACAAUCUGAUAUUUAUUUUUUGAAAUUAAAUAAAUAGAAAGUUGCACUUACCAACUUUUUGUUAAAACUGUACCAUAUCUAAUCACUGCAUAAAAAUUCAGAUGUAUAGAAUACUGUCAUUUUUUCAGUCUCUAAAAUCUAAUUUGUUCUCCGUAAACUUUCUCUUCUCUAUUUUCACAGAAUUUUACAAUUAAAGGGAAAUAACAAACUAUUUGCUUCCUUAAAAUUCUUUGGAAAAAAUUCCCUAAGUACACACUCCUUGGACAAUAAGGUUUUGUUUUAUUCUUUAAGAAAUUCUGUUUAUUGGAAUUUUGACUAUCUACAUAUUUUAUUUUUUAAAGGGCAAAGGAAUUUGUUAAGUAUCUCUAAGGAUGUGAAUUGAUUAUUUACAUUAAAAUAACCAGUAGAGUUAUUCUCAAGUCACCAGAAUUAAAUUUCCUAACUGUAUGCUUACCACUAUUAACUCUUUCUUAUACGAAUUUUAAGGAGAUUUUUUAAAGGGUCUGAUUUUCAUUUUUGGAUAUGAAAUCGAGUUUCCUUUUCUAUGCUUAAGGUACUAUUUUGUAACUGCACUGCACUAACAUGUCCAAAACACACUGUGAGCAUCACUAUGAGCAACAACCUUUUAGAUUAUACCCUCUUGAUUCAUGGCACAGCCCUGUAGUUAAUUAAGAGGAGGAGAACUUAAGCUCACAAUUGCUUUUUAUUUGGUUUUCACAUCCAUACUCUAAAACUUUGCAUUAAAAAGAAUAUGAGAAAUUUAAAUAAAUUUCUGUUGCUUAAUAAAAUAUUGAUGAAAAUGCAUUCCCUUGUGAAAAUCCCACUGUCAAAGCAUCAGAUACCAAAGUCCGCUGGUUGAACUGUCAAAUACAUUAGGCUCAUUAAUUAUUAUGAAUAUGGCUUCCAUUUCCAUGUAAAUGACAAGCUUCUUUUUCAUGGGCAAGGUUAUGGUACUUAUCCAUUACAAGAAACAUGUAUAAACACAGUCUUUAUCUUUAACCUCAGUUUUAAAAUAUGCAGAGUUUUCGUGAAGAGGAAAAACAUCUGGUUCAAUUACUCUGAACUCUGACUGCAUGUGGGCCAGUAGUAAUAUGAAUUGGAUUUAAGAAUAAACCGUGUGUUUAGUCUUUUUUGUUGUUGUUUUUUCCUGAAAAUGUCUGUGUGAGUUUUCUGUUAUGUCAAUUAUCCAUGUUAGCACAUUUGGAACAAAUGUAUCAGUGUAACUUUCUGAAUAAAGUCGAAAGUCUAACUUGUUUUUAGCUCCAUAAUGUUUUAAUGUUUAAUUCUAUUGUGUGUUUUUCUCCCUUUCCCCUGACCUUCCAAAAUCACCAAAUCUGGAAAACAGGCUGAUUGUAUCUGCCCAUGAGCAGAGGAAACCCGAAGGAACCAAGGGCCUGGCUGGACGGAGUUGUCAUGUGUCUGCCUGUCUACACUUGCUGUGCAGAACAUCCGCUCACCUGUACAGCAGGCACAGACAGGCAGUCACAUGACAACCCAGCCUGAGUGACAACCAGCCAUUGAGAGAGAGCAGCCCUCACUCCGUAGCACCUACACCAAGAGCUACAGCCAAAAUGAGGGACGCGGGGGCCUGGAGUUUUAAUCUGUUGGUUUCUUAACUCGUAUGUAUUCUUCUUCUUCUUCUUCAAAUAUUGAAACCCACCAAAAGUAAAGUGAGUGGUGCUUAUGAAAUAUAAUAAAACCCAUUUCUGAAAAUA